GUCAAAUUGUUAUGUUACCGUGGCGAGGCCAAAUAUUUGGCUUUUUCGUAGCUCAUCACAGUUUACUUUCUUUGUAGUGCUUGUACACUUUUUUGCUUGGCGAAGGUUAAAAAACGCGGAAGAAGGUCACCCGCCGCUUACCUUGAAUUUCCGCAGGUGUUGCGGUUUGCAAAAAAACACAAGUUCAGAUUUGGGCUACAAAGUUACGUAUUUAUCGUUCCGCUUCGUUUAGAGCUUCUCGUCGUUAUGGAACGUGGCAGCAGAACUGCGAGAUAUUAAUUGAUAUAAAUUGCAUACGACGGUUCGUGUCCCUGUGUGACGGAGCGGACACUGAGUGAGUGACUCCCGCGAAGCCCUGCGAGGAUUCUGAAGCGGAACCUCGUGAAGAGCGGCGCGCGAGCUGGAGCACAGCGACCACACCGCGCUCGCGCCACUGCUACUCCAGCAGCCUGAAACAUCAUCAUGGAGGAGAACGUGGACUUCAAGACCUUGAGGGACAGAUUUCAUGCGAAGGCUGAAAUGGCUGAUGCCAAAGGUGGUGAUUCCCAGAGGCUUCCGAUGCCACGAUUUCCAAGAGCAGUUCCACCAGCAGGACACAGCCCUUCAGCGAAUGGUGCCGCCCGACCUAAACUGUCGCCUGCCGCUCCUGGACCGCGUUCAUCUCCAGACCUUAGUUGGAUGGCCAGACCAUCUGCAGUUGAACCUGAGUCCACAGGCCCAACAAGGCCGUCCCCACCUUUUGGUGUCUUUCCCAGACCACCUCCAUCCCACCGGACUGCUCCUGUUCCGCAGGAACCCAAAACAGAGAGCCCAGUGAAGGACAGAGUACCAGGAAAGGUCAAAGCUACCGGGGAACUGUUGCAAAACAUGAUGCUGAAGCCAUCUAUGCAGGACAGCCCCCUAUUCAAGCCAACUCCAUCUCCCACAUCAACACUGCGUAGCCAGAGAAGCAUGGCAGAAGUGCCUCCUCUUAGGAGGACUCUACCCCCUGAGGGACCAAAACCUGUCAAACCCAAACGCCCCCCCACUGUUAACCUGGACUGCUACCGGAAAGCUGCACCACCACCUCCGCUGCCUGGACGCCCAUCACUGGGGAAGAAGACAGGAGCUGUUAAUCUACCCAUUCCUGGGUCAGCAAGUCCAUCAGGCCCACCAAGGCCACCAUUCAAACCAAGCAGCCUAAGCCAGCAGCAGUCAGUGAUUGUGAAAGACGAUGAUCAAGACACCUACGAUGAUGUUGACAUACUUCCACCUCCACCACCUCCCCCGCCUUCAAAGUCUGCUUUCAAAGAAGAUUUCUUCAACAACUGUGGUUCCACACCUGGGGAUGAGGAAAGUGAUACUGGUGAAAUCUAUGAACCUGUUGAUGAACCAGAAGAGCCAGUCAGUCACGAUAGGAAUUUGCAGAAGGAAGUGAAGCGGCAGCGUGACCUGGAAAAGAAAGAACAGAAGGAGAAACAGAAGAAAGAGAAUGAAUAUAAGAAGAAAUUUAAGGUGUGACAUCACCUGUUUACAAAAUGCAGACACUUACCAUCUACCUAUCAUUGAUU
Scleropages formosus (Asian bonytongue) is the source of this 1550-nucleotide long non-coding RNA. Lineage: Eukaryota; Metazoa; Chordata; Actinopteri; Osteoglossiformes; Osteoglossidae. The record is from Ensembl.